Long non-coding RNA from Homo sapiens (human), 3974 nucleotides. NCBI's taxonomy places the organism in Eukaryota, Metazoa, Chordata, Mammalia, Primates, Hominidae. The record is from Ensembl.
AUGCUAGACACUUCCUGACCUUUACGUCUGAUACAUUCUUUGAGAGAACUUCUCCACCGACCCCGUCACCUGGAUUGGAUCACCGACCUCUCCCAAGAGGGGCCUGGCUUCCUCCUCGCUGGGGAAACGGUAGGGAGCUCCCCUAGGUAAAGCCUCUAGGGAGAGUGGCCAGGAGCCGGGUCAGGAAAGGCUCUGGUGCCCAAAGGGCUGCCCGCAGAGGCUGAGGUCCCUGCAAGUGCACAGGGAGGAGAGGUGAGAUCAGAUUCCAGCCGAGUCAGGCUUCCAUGUCAGACUGCGUGUGUUUAUGCAGAGGUGCAACUCAGGAAUUACUGAGGAGAAAGUACAGGGCCAAUUUAACCUCCUCUGAGAGACCUCUAACCCUGCUCAUCACCACUCCUCGCUAAAAAGGGCCCUCUCCAGGGAAGAACCCAGAGGGAGAGCGGGAAUUCUCCUCCCCUUGGAGGAAGAGUGCUUCCUCUACCCUUAAUGUAUCAACUGACAACAAUUCAAACAGAAGGAAACUAGGAUGUGACAAAUAAAGGAAGCCUUUUCAUGCUCUAUGUCCACUGGCGUCGGGCAAGCCCCGGUGGAAGUCCAAGGAAAAGAGUCUAAGACCCAAACAGAUGGUUUGCGCCAAAGUUCUGAAGUGUAUCAGACGUGAAUAAAGGUAUGUUAAUUCUAAAAGGAACUAAAAUAGAAACAUGAUGUGGUUUAGACUCAGGUAUUAAAAAAUGAGCCAUCUCAGAAGUGGAGACCAACUGAAUAUCUUCCUGUAUAACUUCUUCUAUAACUCUUCCAUGCCUCUAUGUUUGGUUGACUUUCACCAGUUUUCCCAGUCUCCAAUGAACCUGAUUCUAUAGGCAGUUACUCUGUGUUCUUUUUGAUGGGAUUCUAAGAAGUGAAGAACAGCAUAGGAACCAAUUUGCUGUGUAAAAUCAGAGAGAGCUCGACUCACUGUGGGUCAGAAACAAAGGGAGACUCUCCAUUGAAAACAGGCUCCCUGAAAGCAGACAUCAGCUAUAAACUGGUUAGGAAUUUAUUAUGAAUUUCCUUUGCAUUCUGAAGCAGAAGGCUUAAAAUUAGGCUCUAAGUCGGAACCCACAGUACCAUUUCCCACAGUAUGACAAGUUUAUAUGGGCAACACAUAUACUUUAGAGUAAUUUGAUCGUCCCAGGCACUAUCUGGAGUGCUUUACACAUGUAGCUGCUUAGUCGUGGCCCCUCAUGGCCUGGCCCUCUGGGUUGGAAUGAUGAGUUGCCAGAGGGUGAAGUCACUUUUGGAUCAUCACGAACACUGAGAGUCGAAAGACAAUGCCAGAGGGUGACGUCACUUCCGGUUCAUCACGAACACAUGGAGAGUCGGAAGAUGACCCUGGGCUUGUCUUCACAUUUUCCGUGUUGUCACUUGCCGGUCCUUUGGAAGCCGACCCUAGAUGUACACUGUCUUGCCGGGACCUUUCUCUUCUCUUCCCCUGUGACCACGCAGGUCUUCGAUUCCCUGCCCCCUGCCCGAGGACCUGCCUCCUCCCUGCCCGAGGACCAAGCUUCAGAAGAACUGCACAUGGGAGGAAAUACCAACCGCUUAACUUCUUCAGAGACAACCUCUAACCCGGCUCACCACCACGCUAGCUAAAAAAGGGCCCUCUCCCAGGGAAGAUCCCGGAGGAAGAGUGGGAAUUCACCCUCCCCUUGGGGGAGGAGUGCUUUCUCUACCCUUAAUUUAUGAACUGAGAAAAAUCCUAACAAGCCUACUAUGAAAUAAAGAUGCCCUUAACCCAUUUAUGCCUAGUGUUCCAUUAUUGGAACGCUAAGCUUGUGGGAGUUAUUUAUAUCCUACUGCUCAAAACCAUUGCCAAGGUCUGAUUUUUCACACAAAAAAAUUUGCAACCUUCGGUAUAAAUGGGUUAAUUCCAAAGCCUAAAGCAACCUAAGACAUCUCAGUCCACAGUGAGCCCAGCCUCCAGCUGCAGGUGUUGGCUUCCACACAGCGCAGGACCAAGCAGUUUUGUGCUGAGUCCAUCUCUGUGGCCACCGGCCACCCGGUGCUGGGGCUGGUCCCCAGCUCAUCUGCACAGGGUUGGUGGAAGGGGCCAGAGGCAGCCUGGGCUCUGAAUUCCACCCAGACCUGGGGAAUAGGCCUGGUAGGGGAGUGAAUGCCAGGGCCGCUGGUGGCCUUGGCUCUUCUGCACGGCAGCAACUGUGGUGGCCUGAGAAUAAGGAGUUACCAUAAGGACGUAGAGGUAGAUCACCAGAGCCGCAUCCACACCCAGAGAUAGACUCACACAUCUGUGGUGUGUUCAUUUCAACAAAGGUGCAGAGAAAAUUCCAUGGAGGAAAAACAAUAGCCUAUCAACAAAUGGUGUUAGAACGAUUGGAUAUCUCACGCAAAAAAUUAACUUUUAUCUGUAUCUCAUGUUAUGUAAAAAUGGAACCAAAAUAGAUUAUAAACAUAAUGUAGAAUAUAAAAGAAAUUAUGGUAAAAAUCAUAGGAAAAAAAUCUGUGCGACCUUAGUUAGGCAAAGAUAUUUUAAAUUUGACAGCAAAAGUACAAUCCAUAAAAGAAAAGAAACUGAUAAAUUGGACAUACUCAAAGUGAAGCACAUAUGCUAGUCAGAAGACACUACUGUUAAGAGAAUAAAAAAUAUAAGCCACAGAUCUGGAGAAAACAUUUGCAAACCAUAUAUCUGAAAAAAAUGGCUUGUACUUCACAUCUAAAAAGACUCAAAAGUCAAUAAUAGGAAAGAAGAGACAAUUUAAAAUGGGCAAAAUAGUUAAAAAGACAGAUCAGCCAAGAAGAUAUAUGGAUGAAAAUUAAACACAUUAAAUACAUCCGAUGUCAAUAACCCUGCUCCCUACCGGUUAGACAGCUGAUGUCAGAAAGGCCGACCCCAUCGCGCGUGCGCGAGCACAAGUGGGCAGGAACAGGAAAUGCCACGAGGACGCUGAAUCAAACCUGCCUACGUGAAGGGCUGAAGACGCGACAUUUCCUGACAGAGGUUGCUAUGUCUAGCAGCAUGAGCCUCUCCAUGAAGGCAUGAGGGGAGAAGACCUCUUCUCUACCUUGUCCCAGGUCUUCCAGGAUUGGUGUCUCCUUUGAGAAGCAGGACUGCUUUUAUAAGUAAGAAAAAUAUUGGUUCUUCAUUUUCAAAAUAACGUCUCAGCUACGUGUCCAAGUGUGUCACAUUGCAACAACUGCCCAGCUGUGGGGCUGGUCUUGGGGAGCAGAGGGGACUGAGGGGCCUGCCUCAUUACGAGCUGCACAGGAGGGCUGAGCUUGCAUUAGCAGCUUCUCCCUCCAGUGCAGGAGAACGCAUUAAGAUUUACGGUUCAUCUGAAAGUAGCUUAGAAAGAAACCAUAUGCUCUUAUCAUCUCUUGCAGAAGUUGCAGACAAGUUAUUUAAAAAUCUCGUUUUCUUAAACUGUCUUUAUUGCAAAGAAAAGAGCCUCUGGGAUCCACUUCAAGUAGUCAUUGUGGAGGGUACAGCAAGCCAGCCCUGGGCUAAGCAUUUACCCCACUAAUUCACCACCACAGCAAGGUGGAGAUCCUUGAGUUUUUGCCUGUGUUUCACAAAUGAGGAAUCCGAGGAGCAGAGACCUGAAGUGACCUGUCCAGGACACAAGAGUGAACCCGGGGACAAAGCCAACCCGCUCUGCUGGGGCUAGUGCCUUUCCACACUCCUCUGUUUCUAUAUUUAAACCGAGUGAAAGGAGACAUGGAAAAUACAUUAGCCCAUUUGGAGGUGAAUUUGAUACACUCUCAUUUGUCAUAGAGGGUAGAAAAAGAUGGAAAAGAGAAACGGGCUGGUGGGGAGGAGGGAAGAGCAGAGACCAGGGCCUCAGCCCAACCUCCAUCCGCUUCCCACUUUCUCUCCCUGUCCCUUUCCUGGAGGCCUUGCUUGCUCCUCACAAAGCUGUCAUUCUUAUGCCUUGCAUGAAUUUGGGUAUUUUAACUUGUCUAUUAAAAAUAUAAAUCUG